This is a long non-coding RNA of Callithrix jacchus (white-tufted-ear marmoset), 2570 nucleotides long. The record is from Ensembl. NCBI's taxonomy places the organism in Eukaryota, Metazoa, Chordata, Mammalia, Primates, Cebidae.
CCCAAAAGGCCGUGGAAAGGAGAAAGGGCAAUGAGAGGAGUCCGGGGAGCGCUCGAGGCUGGGGCCCUGCCUCCCAGCUCUGGCCCGGCCUCUGCUUUCCGGCACCUGCUGCUGCGGCGCCCACGUGCGCGCAGGGCUGCGCGGGGCGUGGAAUGCUCACCGCGGUCCUGCCCACGCCUAGCGCAGCGCCUGGGAGCGGGUGGAGUUCUGUCAGUAAGUUGGGGUGAGGGACGAUGAGGCGACCUCGCGAAGUCUGGCAGGGAUUCAGAGACUCAGACGCAGCCCCCAAGGCUCCUACUACCACAUCAGGCUUCUGGUUCCUCGAUUUCCAGGGUGGGGUAAAGAAACAGAAGAUUCAUGUCUGUGGUGGAGAAAACUGGAGAAGGCUGGGGGCUGUAAGUGGGGACGCUCUGCGGGAUAGUUCUGCCAUAAUGUCAUCCAGAGUCAGAAGGGCAAAGUAACAACAAAAAAAGGAAAAGGAAUAUUUCAAGUUAAUAAUACUUCAUAAUAUAAUUAUAAAAUGCCAUAAGAUCUCAAACCAAAAACAGGUAAAGAGGACUAAGUAGAAUAUUUUGAAGAAAAAACACACCACUAGAAUCAAGACAAUAACAUUUAGUAAAAUUGAAAACAAACAGAAAAGUUCUUAAAGAUCAUGGAAAGAAAGAACGUGGUAGUAACAGCAACAAACAGAUUAAUUCAGAAAAGGGCAAGAAUUAGAUUGACAGCAAUCUUCUGGAAAGUGACACUGGGUUACAAAAGUGUCCGUGGAAUUGUACUGUUAGAGUGCUAAAGAAAAACUUUUUGAACCUAAUAUUUAUUUAUAUUCCUGUAAACUGUUGCUUAAAUUUUAAAAGAAAGAUACAUCAACACACUCAAUUUAAAAAUAAGACUUAGAUGAUGUAUUAUGGCAAGAACAAUGGUGACUUCAGGAGGAUAUUACAAUAUGGAAGGAAAGAUGAGUAAAGUCUUAGGCAAAUUCGUUGUCUAAAUAAUUGAUACAUAUUGUGAGGGGUAAAAAGAGAAGAACAGAGAGAGAUGUGUUGUAAAUUUCUUGUCUUGCUUGGAUAAAAAAACAUAGAUAUUCAAUAUCACUAGAUGUUGGAAAAGAGUGUUAGCAUAACUGUAUGUAAGUAAGUUAGGUAGCUACGAUAAGAAUAAAACAGAAUAUAACAUGUUCAUGUUGGCUAAGGAAAACUUAACCUAUCCAAUGGAAGAUGCCAGUAAAGAAAAACAAAACAAAACGAAAAAACAAAUGAAGCAAGAAAGCAACAUAAGGCGGGGCGCGGUGGCUCACGCCUGUAAUCCCAGCACUUUGGGAGACAGAUGCGAGAGGAUCACAAGGUCAAGAGAUCGAGACCAUCCUGGCUAACACGGUGAAACCCCGUCUUACUAAAAAUACAAAAAUUUGCUGGGCAUGAUGGUGCAUACCUGUAGUCCCAGCUACUCAGGAGGCUGAGGCAGAAUUGCUUAAACCCCAGAGGCGGAGGUUGCACUCAGCUGAUAUUGCACCACUGCACUCCAGCCUGGCCGACAGAAUGAGACUCCUUCUCAAAAGUGUGCUAGAAAUCAUGAAAAAAUGAUAGAAAUAAUCAUAAAUCUAUAUGGGAUAAAUGUAUCAGUGAGAAGAGAAAUGUUUCUGAUUAGAUAUCAACUAAAAUCAAAUUCAUCAACAUGUCUGCAAAGGCACAUUUAACACAAUUUAUAUACACAUUGAGAAUAUGUGACUCCAAAAAGAUAUUCAAGUCUAGCAAGUAUACCGGGAUGACAAUUCUAUACUAGGCAGAAAGCAUCAAAGCAAAACAAUUAUAAGCAAAUAAUGUCAUUGUGUAGUGUUAGAAAAAAAAGUCAAGUUAAUAUAGUUGUUCCAAAUACAUAUGCAGCUAAAAUUUAGCCUCAAACUGUUUUCUAGAAUGAAAAAUAACAAACAUCAUGUUAAAUAAUAGUUGUAGUUGGAAAACUUUAACACAAUCCUCUCAGAAACUGACUGAUUAAAACAGAUUUUAAAAUUAGCAAAUAUUAAGAAUAUAUGAAUAAAAUCUGUUUAUUUUAUUUAGAUAAGUAGGAAUUUAAUUUUAACAAAAAUAAACUCCCAUAAAACAUUUAUUUAAAAUAAGCAUUUCUUGGCAAAAAGAAUAUAAAUUCAAAGAGUUAACAUACCGAUUAUAGCCUAUGAGAUAUAAGAAUAUAACAAACGGAUAUCCAAAGUACAGCCUAAUGUCACAUGCCUGAAAAUUAAAUAAUGCUUACAACAAUAAUACAGUUAUGUAAUACAUGGUUCUUAGAUCAAAUUGAAAUGAUGAAAGUAUACUAUGUAUAGCUUAAUGAUAAGUAUAUAACAACGCAUAUCUAAAUGUGUGAUCAACAGAUGUCUAAAUCCACAGCCUGUUGUAAAGUAACAUUUAGAAGAAAACUUUCAGUUUUUAAUACAACAGCAUAAAAUACUUGGUACAGAACAACACAGUAAACUAAAGAAAAAGGAAAAAUACAUAUAGAAAAUACUAGAAAUCAAUUAAGCAGACAAGAAUCAGAAUACUUAUUAAAAGUAAAUUCGAGUUAUUUGAAAAAAUUAG